UGGGGAAUUUUGGACAAUGGGGGCAACCCUGAUCCAGCCAUGCCGCGUGAGUGAAGAAGGCCUUCGGGUUGUAAAGCUCUUUCGCAAGGGAAGAAACGAUGCAGGUAAAUAAUCUGCGUUAAUGACGGUACCUUGAUAAGAAGCACCGGCUAACUACGUGCCAGCAGCCGCGGUAAUACGUAGGGUGCGAGCGUUAAUCGGAAUUACUGGGCGUAAAGCGAGCGCAGGCGGUUCUGCAAGUCAGAUGUGAAAUCCCCGGGCUCAACCUGGGAACUGCGUUUGAAACUACAGAGCUAGAGUAUGGGAGAGGGAGGUAGAAUUCCACGUGUAGCAGUGAAAUGCGUAGAGAUGUGGAGGAAUACCAAUGGCGAAGGCAGCCUCCUGGCCUAAUACUGACGCU
RNAcentral lists this ribosomal RNA (400 nucleotides) under uncultured bacterium. RNAcentral describes it as "bacterial SSU rRNA". It matches the Rfam family "Bacterial small subunit ribosomal RNA", at positions 355 to 747 of the family's 1533-position model. The record is from RNAcentral.